Molecule: long non-coding RNA, 576 nt
Organism: Hyla sarda
Lineage: Eukaryota; Metazoa; Chordata; Amphibia; Anura; Hylidae
Exons: 3
Source: RefSeq, a predicted model, not a curated record
AAGCAUAACUCCCAACUGUCUCGAAUCCGGCGGGACAUUCCUGCUUUUGGGGUGAUGUCCCGCCAUACUGGAACAGCCCCACAUGUCCUGCAUUUAACUGUAAAUAUGCCACUCGGUAAAAAGUUUGACAUUGGCUCCUCACCCUGUCAAUCACUCUUGUGCCCAUGGCUACAGUAAGCCAGCAGACACAAGAGGCUGAACCUUCCUCUACGCUCUGGCGUGCCAGUGACGUAAUCAGAUGCUGGAGCUCAGAGGAAGAAGAAAGAAGAGAAGAAGAAGCCGUACGGAAGGACAGAGGAAGAGGACCUGAACAGCAGUAGGUUCUGCAGAGAGGAGUCGUAGCUGGAAGAAAUCAUAAUGACUAUCUGGGCCGGAUGGAGAAGAAAAAGGAAAGUGACAGAUUCCAAUCAGAGUUGUUGUCAGUCACCUGAUAUAACUCAUCACCCUAUGUUAUUUCACUGUCCUUGGGUAUAGCCCAGCUGGUGCCAUUGACAUUUUCGUUUCAGCUGUGAAAACUGAGAAGUGAUCAUUAUGCAGAUAUCUGCAAUGGCUUUGUCUUCUUCAACACAGCUUUGU